AAAACAAUCCUACGGGAGGCAGCAGUGGGGAAUAUUGGACAAUGGGGGCAACCCUGAUCCAGCCAUGCCGCGUGAGUGAUGAAGGCCUUAGGGUUGUAAAGCUCUUUUAUCCGGGACGAUAAUGACGGUACCGGAAGAAUAAGCCCCGGCUAACUUCGUGCCAGCAGCCGCGGUAAUACGAAGGGGGCUAGCGUUGCUCGGAAUCACUGGGCGUAAAGGGCGCGUAGGCGGACAUUUAAGUCAGGGGUGAAAUCCCGGGGCUCAACCUCGGAAUUGCCUUUGAUACUGGGUGUCUCGAGACCGGAAGAGGUAAGUGGAACUGCGAGUGUAGAGGUGAAAU
Molecule: ribosomal RNA, 340 nt
Filed under: uncultured bacterium
Lineage: Bacteria
Description: bacterial SSU rRNA
Rfam family: Bacterial small subunit ribosomal RNA
Source: RNAcentral